AGUCUGGUGCCAGCAGCCGCGGUAAUUCCAGCUCCAAUAUUGUAUAUUCAAGUUGUUGCAGUUAAAAAGCUCGUAGUUGUAUUUUGAAAGGUGAUUCCCUGGGCGCGGGCAUUUUUGCACGUGUCCGGGGGCUGAAAUGCAGCGCGACGCGGUCGGGGCGCAAGCCCUGCACCGCCGCGCACGCGGCCUCUCUUUGUUGCCCUGCGGUUUUACAAACACGCGUUUCUUCUUCGGGAGGGCGCGUGUGGCGCAGGGACAGUUUACUUUGAAUAAAUUAGAUUGAUCAAGGAAGGCUUUGACGCCUGAAUAAUAUAGCAUGGAAUAAUGGAAUAGGACUGUCGUUUCUAUUUUGUUGGUUUCUAGAAGCGAAGUAAUGAUAAACGGAAGUGGUUGUGGCGGUCCGUAUUGCAAAGCUAGAGGUGAAAUUCUUGGAUUUUUGCAAGACGAACAACAGCGAAGGCAUUCCGCAAGAACAUUUUCAUUAAUCAAGAACGAAAGAUGAGGGAUCGAAGAUGAUUAGAUACCGUCGUAGUCUCAUCCAUAAACGAUGCCAUCCGACAAUCGGCAGAAGAUCAUUCCAAACGUCUUUGCCGGCGGUCCGCGAGAAAUCAGAGAUUUUGGGUUCCGGGGGGAGUAUGGUCGCAAGAUUGAAACUUAAAGGAAUUGACGGAAGGGCACCACCAGGGGUGGAGCUUGCGGCUUAAUUUGAUUCAACACGGGGAAACUUACCAGGUCCAGACGUUUGAAGGAUUGACAGGUUGAUAGCCCUUUCUUGAUUAAUCGGGUGGUGGUGCAUGGCCGUUCUUAGUUGGUGGUUUGGACUGUCUGCUUAAUUGCGAUAACGAACGAGACCUCGAUCUGCUAAAUAGGCUUGCCGUUUUUCGGAACGGUCCACCCGCAAGGGAAGCCUUCUUAGCGAGACAGCCUGUUUCUAGCAGGAGGAAGAGCGAGGCAAUAACAGGUCUGUGAUGCCCUUAGACGUUCUGGGCUGCACGCGCGCUACAAUGCGAUCAGCAGCAAGUGACAUCUGGGGUUGAAAUCCCAGUCCUGCGCCGAGAGGCGCGGGAAAUCUUUGAAAUGGUCGCGUGAUUGGGCUAGAGUAUUGCAAUUAUUACUCUUCAACGAGGAAUCCCUAGUAGGUGCACUUCAUCAGAGUGCUCCGAUUAUGUCCCUGCCCUUUGUCCACACCGCCCGUCGCUCCUACCGAUUGAAGCCACAGGAGAGGAUUCAGGAGGAUUGCGGGCUGGGGCAACCCGCCUGCGAACCGAAUCUA
This 1273-nucleotide ribosomal RNA is filed under the name metagenome. RNAcentral's name for it is "bacterial SSU rRNA". It matches the Rfam family "Eukaryotic small subunit ribosomal RNA", at positions 558 to 1757 of the family's 1831-position model. The record is from RNAcentral.